This 479-nucleotide ribosomal RNA is filed under the name uncultured bacterium. RNAcentral describes it as "bacterial SSU rRNA". It matches the Rfam family "Bacterial small subunit ribosomal RNA", at positions 335 to 833 of the family's 1533-position model. The record is from RNAcentral.
ACUCCUACGGGAGGCAGCAGUGGGGAAUAUUGCACAAUGGGCGCAAGCCUGAUGCAGCAACGCCGCGUGAGCGAUGAAGGCCUUCGGGUCGUAAAGCUCUGUCCUCAAGGAAGAAUAAAUGACGGUACUUGAGGAGGAAGCCCGGCUAACUACGUGCCAGCAGCCGCGGUAAUACGUAGGGGGCAAGCGUUAUCCGGAAUCACUGGGGCGUAAAGGGGUGCGUAGGCGGUUUUCAAGUCAGAAGUGAAAGGCUAUGGCUCAACCAUAGUAAGCUUUUGAAACUGUUAAACUUGAGUGCAGGAGAGGAAAGUGGAAUUCCUAGUGUAGAGGUGAAAUUCGUAGAUAUUAGGAGGAACACCAGUGGCGAAGGCGACUUUCUGGACUGUAACUGACGCUGAGGCACGAAAGCGUGGGGAGCGAACAGGAUUAGAUACCCUGGUAGCACAGAGAAGUCGUAGGGGCAAGGCACACAGGGGAUA